AGUCAACAUGCCCAGGGGACGUGGAUAACCUCGGGAAACUGAGGAUAAACCGCGAUAGGUCAUAAUGUCUGGAAUGAUUUAUGGCUCAAACCUAUAUGGCCCCUGGAUUGGACUGCGGCCGAUCAGGCUGUUGGUGAGGUAAUGGCCCACCAAACCUAAAACCGGUACGGGCUCUGAGAGGAGAAGCCCGGAGAUGGGCACUGAGACAAGGGCCCAGGCCCUAUGGGGCGCAGCAGGCGCGAAAACUCUGCAAUAGGCGAAAGCUUGACAGGGUUAUUCUGAGUGAUCUCCGUUAAGGAAAUCUUUUGGCACCUCUAAAAAUGGUGCAGAAUAAGGGGUGGGCAAGCCUGGUGUCAGCCGCCGCGGUAAUACCAGCACCCCGAGUGGUCGGGACGAUUAUUGGGCCUAAAGCAUCCGUAGCCGGUUCUACAAGUCUUCCGUUAAAUCCACCUGCUUAACAGAUGGGCUGCAGAGGAUACUAUAGAGCUAGGAGGCGGGAGAGGCAAGCGGUACUCAGUGGGUAGGGGUAAAAUCCGUUGAUCCACUGAAGACCACCAGUGGCGAAGGCGGCUUGCCAGAACGCGCUCG
Molecule: ribosomal RNA, 588 nt
Filed under: uncultured archaeon
Lineage: Archaea
Description: bacterial SSU rRNA
Rfam family: Archaeal small subunit ribosomal RNA
Source: RNAcentral